RNAcentral lists this long non-coding RNA (1041 nucleotides) under Callithrix jacchus (white-tufted-ear marmoset). Its description in RNAcentral is "lncRNA (ENSCJAG00000085123.1)". The record is from RNAcentral. Lineage: Eukaryota; Metazoa; Chordata; Mammalia; Primates; Cebidae.
AUGUUGGCCCCUCCGGACCCAGCUCUGGAUUCUCUGCAGCCUCCCCAGCACCAGCUGCUGCUUGCUGAUGGCUUCCCCACACCAAGAUCCUGCCUGCCUGCCUGCCUGCCUGCCUGCAUUCUGGCUGCAUCCACAGGCCCAGCGUUCCCCUCACAGUGGCUCAUUGGAGCCCAGUGCUUUCCUUACAGUGGCUCAUUGGAGCCCAGCGCUUUCCUCACAGUGGCUCAUUGGAGCCCAGUGCUUUCCUUACAGUGGCUCAUUGGAGCCCAGCGCUUUCCUCACAGUGGCUCAUUGGAGCCCAGCGCUUCCCUCACAGUGGCCCAUUGGGGCCCAGCUCGUGCCUGUGGCAAACCUCUCCGGACCCAGCUCUCGCCUCACUCUUGCCUUGAGUCUAGGCUCAGGCGCUCCCUCGCAGGGGUCUUCCUCAGCCCAGCUCGCCUAUCACAGACUCUCCCGGGCCAGCUCCUGCCUCCCGGCGGCCUGUCCAGGUCUAAAGCUUCCUCUCUGGGCCUGGCCUCCCCAGGCCCAGCUUCUGCCCGUGCCAGGCCCAUACCGGGCCCAGCCUCCGCCUUUCAGUGGACCCUCCAGGCCCAGCUUGUGGAAUCACCGUGGCCUCUGCUCAGGCCCAGCUCCUGCCUCUGUGGCAGCCUGUAUCCACAGGCCCCACCCCCAGUCUCUCCGUGGCCUCAUGGGGCCAAGCUGAUGCCUCCCGGUGGCCCUCCCGGGCCCAACAUUGGCCUGCUGGCCUCCUCUCUGGGCCCAGAACGUCUUCAGGUAGGUGUUUCGGGGCCCAGCUCCUUUUCUCGGCCAUGUCUAUGGGCUCAACUUUUGAAUUUUCCUUGCAGCAAACUCUGGGGACUCGGUUCCUCCCCAGCCCCUGGCAGCCUGUAUAGGCCCGAAAGCUCAGGCCCUCUGUCUGAUCACAGCUCAAAGGGGGAAAAGGAACUAACGUUCUCAGGCUCAGGUCACCUAAUUCCUGCCCUCCUUUGCAGGGUGGGUCCCAGGGAUACCACCCACACUGGCUGUUUGUUCACUUGCUAG